This 253-nucleotide ribosomal RNA is filed under the name uncultured bacterium. RNAcentral describes it as "partial 16S ribosomal RNA". It matches the Rfam family "Bacterial small subunit ribosomal RNA", at positions 524 to 776 of the family's 1533-position model. The record is from RNAcentral.
UACAGAGGGUGCGAGCGUUAAUCGGAAUUACUGGGCGUAAAGCGUGCGUAGACGGCUAUCUAAGUCGGGUGUGAAAGCCCCGGGCUCAACCUGGGAAUUGCAUUCGAGACUGAAUAGCUAGGGUACGGUAGAGGGAAGCGGAAUUUCCGGUGUAGCGGUGAAAUGCGUAGAUAUCGGAAGGAACAUCAGUGGCGAAGGCGACUUCCUGGACCAAUACUGACGCUCAGGUGCGAAAGCGUGGGGAGCAAACAGG